Triticum urartu is the source of this 139-nucleotide non-coding RNA. NCBI's taxonomy places the organism in Eukaryota, Viridiplantae, Streptophyta, Magnoliopsida, Poales, Poaceae. The record is from Rfam.
AAGGUGGAUGAAGAGGACGUUGUGUCCCACAUCCUAGCUGGACUAGAUGAGGAGUUCGACCCCGUGGUGUCAGCCAUGUGCUCUCGGGUCGAGCCAGUCAAGGUCUCGGAGUUGUACUCGCAGCUCCUGAGCUUCGAAA